RNAcentral lists this ribosomal RNA (1798 nucleotides) under Pinus taeda (loblolly pine). RNAcentral's name for it is "SSU rRNA". It matches the Rfam family "Eukaryotic small subunit ribosomal RNA". The record is from RNAcentral. Lineage: Eukaryota; Viridiplantae; Streptophyta; Pinopsida; Pinales; Pinaceae.
CCUGGUUGAUCCUGCCAGUAUUCAUAUUCUUGUCUCAAAGAUUAAGCCAUGCAUGUCUAAGUAUAAACUAAUUCAAACUGUGAAAUUGUGGAUGGCUCAUUAAUCAGUUAUAGUUUUUUUUAUGGUACCAUACUAUCGGAUAAUUGUAGUAAUUCUAGAGCUAAUAUGUGCACCAAGUCUCGACUCUUUGGAAAGGAUUCAUUUUUUGGAUAAAAGGUUAGCGCGGGCUUGCCUUCUUCUCCAGUGAAUCAUGAUAACUCGAUGGAUCGCACAGCCCUUGUGCUGGUGAUGCUUCAUUCAAAUUUCUGCCCUAUCAACUUUCGAUGGUAGGAUAGAGGCCUACGAUGGUGGUGACGGGUGAUGGAGAAUUAGGGUUUGAUUCUAGAGAGGGAGCCUAAGAAAUGGCUACCACAUCCAAGGAAGGCAACAAGCAAACAAAUUACCUAAUCCUAACAUGGGGAGGUAGUGACAAUAAAUAACAAUAUUUGGCUCAUCGAGUCUAGUAAUUGGAAUGAGUACAAUCUAAAUCCCUUAAUGAGGAUCCAUUGGAGGGCAAGUCUGGUGCUAGCUGCCGCGGUAAUUCUAGUACCAAUAGCGUAUAUUUAAGUUGUUGUAGUUAAAAGGCAUGUAGUUGGAUCUUGGGUCGUAAAGGUCGGUCCGCCUACUCGGUUUGCACCUGUCUUUCUAUCCCUUUUUCGGCGGCAUGCUCCUAGCCUUAAUUGGCUGGGUCGUAGCUCCGACGUUGUUACUUUGAAAAAAUUAAAGUGCUCAAAGCAAGCUUAUGCUCUAAAUACAUUAGCAUGGAAUAACGUGAUAGGAGUCUAGUCCUAUUGUGUUGGCCUUUGGGACUAGAGUAAUGAUUAAUAUGGACUGUCGGGGGCAUUCGUGUUUCAUUGUCAGAGGCAAAAUUCUUGGAUUUAUGAAAGAUAGACCACUGCGAAAGAAUUUGCCAAGGAUGUUUUCAUUAGUUAGGAACAAAAUUUCGGGGCUCGAACAAUCAGAUACCAUCCUAGUCUCAACCAUAAACGAUGCCGACCAGGGAUCGGCGGAUGUUGCUCUAAGGACUCUGCCAGCAUCUUUUGAUAAAUCAGCGUGUUUGGGUUCCAGGGGGAGUAUGGUUGCAAGGAUAAAACUUAAAGGAAUUGACAGAACGACACCAUCAGGAGUGGAGCCUGCGGCCUAAUUUGACUCAACACGAGGAAACUUACCAGGUCCAGACAUAGUAAGGACUAACAGAUUGAGAGCUCUUUCUUUGUUCUAUGGGUGGUGGUGCAUGGCCAUUCUUAGUUGGUGCAGCGAUUUGUCUGGUUAAUUCUGAUAAUGAAGGAGACCUCAUCCUGCUAACUAGUUACGCGGAUGUUCCCCUUCACGGCCAACUUCUUAGAGGGACUAUGGCCAUUUAGGCCAUGGAAGUUUGAGGCAAUAAAAAUUUUGUGACUCCCUUAGAUGUUCUGGACCACAUGCACGCAACACUGAUGUAGCCAAUGAGUUUUUCUUCCUGGUUCGAGAGGACCAGGAAAUCUUCUCAAAUUGCAUCAUGAUGGGAAUAAACCAUUGCAAUUAUUGGUCUUCAAUGAGGAAUUCCUAGUAAGCGUGUAUCAUUAACUCGUGUUGACUACGUCCCUGCCAUUUGUACACACUGCUCGUCACUCCUACCAAUUGAAUGAUCCGGUGAAGUGUUCAGAUUGCGUCGAUGAUAGUGGUUUGACGCUGUCGAUGUCGUGAGAAGUUCAUUGAACCUUAUCAUUUAGAGGAAGGAGAAGUCGUAACAAGUUUACCAUAGGUGAACCUUUGGUAG